This 202-nucleotide long non-coding RNA is filed under the name Lathyrus oleraceus (garden pea). Its description in RNAcentral is "Pisum sativum (pea) long non-coding RNA (PSAT_LNC017737)". The record is from RNAcentral. Lineage: Eukaryota; Viridiplantae; Streptophyta; Magnoliopsida; Fabales; Fabaceae.
AAUUACUUGUUAGUCACCAUUUCUCCAUAAAUCCUCGAUAAUCCUAAUCAGAGGGAGAAAAUGGUGUGGUUGAGAUUCAAUUGUAAACAUUGUCCCUUAAUGUGUAAUUGAAUCAAGAAUCUAGUUUUUAACCACUUUGAAUUGUCUUUUUCUUUCUUCUCUCUUUUCUUUACUUUGUGAUUUUCUUGUUGAUCAAAAAACC